RNAcentral lists this ribosomal RNA (430 nucleotides) under uncultured bacterium. RNAcentral describes it as "bacterial SSU rRNA". It matches the Rfam family "Bacterial small subunit ribosomal RNA", at positions 354 to 796 of the family's 1533-position model. The record is from RNAcentral.
GUGGGGAAUAUUGCACAAUGGGCGAAAGCCUGAUGCAGCAACGCCGCGUGAGGGACGACGGCCUUCGGGUUGUAAACCUCUUUUAGUAGGGAAGAAGCGAAAGUGACGGUACCUGCAGAAAAAGCACCGGCUAACUACGUGCCAGCAGCCGCGGUAAUACGUAGGGUGCAAGCGUUAUCCGGAAUUAUUGGGCGUAAAGAGCUCGUAGGCGGGCUGUCGCGUCUGCUGUGAAAACUGGAGGCUCAACCUCCAGCCUGCAGUGGGUACGGGCAGACUAGAGUGCGGUGAGGGAGAUUGGAAUUCCUGGUGUAGCGGUGGAAUGCGCAGAUAUCAGGAGGAACCCCGAUGGCGAAGGCAGAUCUCUGGGCCGUAACUGACGCUGAGGAGCGAAAGCGUGGGGAGCGAACAGGAUUAGAUACCCUAGUAGUCC